Molecule: long non-coding RNA, 344 nt
Organism: Hemiscyllium ocellatum (epaulette shark)
Lineage: Eukaryota; Metazoa; Chordata; Chondrichthyes; Orectolobiformes; Hemiscylliidae
Exons: 4
Source: RefSeq, a predicted model, not a curated record
CCGACGCAGAGUCGCUGUAAUAAAUGCUCGGGAAGUUAUAGAGAGAAAGGAUACGAUCCCAGUGAUUAAUGCCAAAGCCCUGUUGCCUGUGGAGAGGGUGAUGCUUGACUUUCUUGUACAGCUGCAGUUUGUGUGGUGAAGGUGCUCCCACAAUGUGGUUGGGAUACUACAGGUGGACAUUCAGAUGGUAAUCUCAGUCAUUGUAACACCAAACUCUGAUUGAAUUAGUCAAUUCAUCAGGACCUGGAUAUUCGCAUUGUGUGUGCAGAGAUGGCCAUUCGUACAGUGAUGUGCUCUUCCUGUUGGAUGUGGGAGAUUAAGGAAGGUUUCAAUGAUCUGAUUGU